CCGGAAGCGGAAGAGUCUGCGGCUGAAAGCCAGGCGAUGAGGAUGAAGAUGAGCUCUUUUGAAUGAACAGAAGCAGCAGCUUCUCAUUUCCGCUUUAUAACAUCAAGGUGAGGAUUCGGCCUAGAGUGGAUCUCCCUAGCUCUAGACCAUGAAAUUGCUGAGCCAGUUAAGCUUCUCUUAAGCAAACUUCUCAAGUUGACCCAAUCAACAAUCACACUUGGGAUUACAGGCCCAUGAUAGAAGCCUCUUGGAUCAAAUUAUAUUCAAAAGAAAGCGCACUGAUAUUUCAAACUGACAAAGUUAUCUUGGAAUGUGCAGCACAUAUAUGGUUAUGUGUGGACAAAAUUAUGUGUGGAUGGUUUGAGUUAUCUUUGAGGAACUCUCAUGAAAGAGGACUUCCUGAACCGCUUUAGAGAGUGGAAACAGUGAUGAGAUUCAUCCUGACAGAUUAAUAUGCAGCAAGAGAGACCCGCUGUCAAUGGGCAUUUUGGAUCAUGUGUUUAAAACUGCCUUUGAUGUGUUUGUGGGUCAGGAAUUUGGGAAGGGAUUGUCUGGAAGACAUAGCUGGAACAAUGAAGCACUAGAAUAGCUGGAAGCUGACUGGACAUUUCUCUCUACAGACCUCCAGGAUUUUAAUUUGUUUUCACAUGUGGGCUAUUUUGAGUUUUCUCACAGCAUGGUUGAUUUGAAGCCAUUAGCUUGCAUAUGCAGAGGGUCAGCAUUCAAAGUGUGACUGUCUAGCAGAAAGGCAGAAUCUGAAUUGUCUCUCCUUCCUUAGCCUCAGAAGUCACCCAGCAUCACCUGCACUGUGCUCUAGUUCUUGAGCCAGGCAGAAAAACCCAACAGUUUCAAAGGGAAGGGAUGUAGAUCUCACCUUUCUGUGAAAGGAGUUUCAGUGCAACGAAUGUGGGUGUUGGAAGAUAUUACUGGGACCAUCUAUAGAAGAUAUUGUCUGCCACAGCUAUUAAUAGUACUAGCUCAUUGUGGUUUCUUUGGAUUGUCACCCACUCCAAGGAAAAAUGUAGCAACAGUUAAAAAAAAACAUAGUUCUAAGCAGCUUUCUGUUAUGAAAUAAAAUGAAAAUGAUCUGUCUAAUCAGACUAUUUCCUGG
Molecule: long non-coding RNA, 1111 nt
Organism: Heterocephalus glaber (naked mole-rat)
Lineage: Eukaryota; Metazoa; Chordata; Mammalia; Rodentia; Bathyergidae
Source: Ensembl